AGUAACACGUGGGCAACCUGCCCCAGACAUCGGGAUAACCAUUCGAAAGGAUGGCUAAUACCGGAUAUGACCACUUCGGGCAUCCGAUGGUGGUGGAAAGGAGUUCUGGUCUGGGAUGGGCCCGCGGCCUAUCAGCUAGUUGGUGGGGUAAUGGCCUACCAAGGCGACGACGGGUAGCCGGCCUGAGAGGCGACCGGCCACACUGGGACUGAGACACGGCCCAGACUCCUACGGGAGGCAGCAGUGGGGAAUAUUGCGCAAUGGGCGAAAGCCUGACGCAGCGACGCCGCGUGAGGGACGAAGGUCUUCGGAUUGUAAACCUCUUUCAGCAGGGACGAAGCGAAAGUGACUGUACCUGCAGAAGAAGCACCGGCUAACUACGUG
Molecule: ribosomal RNA, 384 nt
Filed under: uncultured bacterium
Lineage: Bacteria
Description: bacterial SSU rRNA
Rfam family: Bacterial small subunit ribosomal RNA
Source: RNAcentral